This is a long non-coding RNA of Ahaetulla prasina, 2133 nucleotides long. RefSeq lists it as uncharacterized. NCBI's taxonomy places the organism in Eukaryota, Metazoa, Chordata, Lepidosauria, Squamata, Colubridae. The transcript has 3 exons. The record is from RefSeq and is a predicted model, not a curated record.
GGGACACCUCUCGAAGGACGCGAGUGACGACGCGGCCGACACCGAGCGGACUGCUCAGCCGCGCCCUCCCGCUCCUGCCCCGGAUGGUUUCGAAGCCUUUCCCUUCGGGCAGCGGGAAGCCCUUGAGAAAGGAGCCUUCCCUCAGGAAGAUCCCAGGGCUUCUGCAGCAGCUGCCUUUGAAAUCAUCUUGAAUUCUGCUGGAUCUUCUGGGGAUCUCCAGAGAACAAAACCAUCAGAAACAGAGCAGAAGUGAAGUUAUACUCUGACUGGACACUCACCAGAGCACAGAAUGGUACAAAAGAGACCAGCAAAGCUUUUCAGCCAUUUUAAGAUGCUCUUUUGGAGCCCUCAAUGUUACUCUGCAGGCCACUUGGGGAAGUAGACUUGGCCUCUUUAUGCCAGCUUGCACUCUGCUUGUGUACAUGCCAAACUGUCCAGGGUGUCAUCUGGUCCAAUUCUUUGGUGUGGCUUUUAGUAUUCAAGGCGUGGAUGGGAACUUGACAGCUCUCUGACCUACAAAGCCAAGUAUCUUGGCUUGUUCAACUUAGCCAAGGGGGAAAGUCUGUAGAUGCACCUCUUUGUGGCAACCACCCCCCAGGUCUUUAAAGAGGCAAACAGACCUAUUCUGAAAGAAAUCCUCCCAAGAGCUCAGAAAUAUCCUUUAGGCCUGGUCUGGAAAUUUAGUCAACCUUGUUUGCUCCUCCUAAAUGUGCUCCUGCUUGAAAGAGGCAGAGGGAAGUGAGUGGUUGGUCCUCCUGGAUCGCUCAGCAGCUUCCUAUAGCAUUGACUGAUAGUCUUCUCGGUCUGGGGGUGAGGAGUAAGAGGCCCCUCUUUCUUCAAGAGAUGAGCUUAGAGAAGACCAUGUCCAAAAGCCGCCCCUCUCGGUGUCCAUUUCCCAGGGAGAAAUGGGACGAUGUCACCGGGAAUGUUAUCAGCUCUGCUUCUCCAUACCAUUUGAAUGAGAGAGGCUGAUCAUGGUCCUGAACUGUGUCUGGAUGGAAGGAAACAUUGGAUAAGAAGCUGAAGCCUGAGGGGGCUUCCCUGGAGGCAUUAGGGUUUAUACACCCCCAAAGGAGUAGAGAGCUUGCUUGGGAUGUUCCCAGAAGGAGCCCCUGCCGAGGGGCCCAGCCAUUCCUGGCCAAGGUGACCUGAACCACACCGUGAGCCACAAUUAGGAGCUGGAAUGGAAAGACUCUUUGUUCUGGGUGAGAACAUUGAGCAAUCGUGUGUGUGUGUGUGUGUGUGUGUGUGUGUGUGUGUGUGUGUGUGUGUGUACACGCACAUACAUACAUGCAUCCCUGUGCAAUAGAGGGUGGCUGACAUUAAUGAUGCCAUAGUGAACGGCAGAGGAUCAGGAUCCCAGCCUGGCUUGGGAUACAGGCUUCUCCUAGGGAUGUUUCACUGCUGUUCUUCCUGACCUCUGUCUUAGUCCUCACACAAGAAACUAUCAAAAAGACCUGGAACUGACAGUUUUCAGAGAAAAGAUCAAGAGAAGCCAGCCUCAGAAGACCUUCUUCCUGGCCACACUCAGAACUGCUAAUGAAGCCAGAAUUAUGAGGUUAAUUUUAUGUCUUCCUAAAACUUCCUUUCCAAUACAUUGUGCAACUCUAGAGACUUGCCCAGGUUUCUCCAGCAGCAACAGAAGGAGGACUGGGCUGGUCCUUUGAUGCUUCAGCCAGGAGUCAGAAGAUCCAAAUAACUUUGAUUAAGAAUGAGUUUUUCUUAGAAGGCCAUGACUUCUUCAAAAUGUCCACCUGGUUUCACCAAUUAGCUCCGGGGGCCCAGGAAUGUCAGCUUUCCUCUUAGCUUUUCAAUAUUGCUCUCUCUCAUGUGAGAAAUAACAAAACACAGAAUCUUUUUUAAUACCAACCCCACAAGAAAAGUUUAUGUAAUCAUGAGACUGGGGUCUCUGAGAAUUGUUGGAGCCAAAGAGCAUUUGGGGAGAAGUCAAAAAAAGGCAUAAGAGCACAAAAGUGCCUACCGUUCCUGUCCUAUUGUUCCCUUCAUUAUACCAGAUUAACAUAGUUGUUGCAUACUUUUACUUAUAUAUACUUUUUUUUCUCUCAUGAUGGGUUAUUGUUUAUGUGAUGAUUGUAUAUACUGUUGUGACAAAAUGAAAUAAAAAAAAAAAGA